RNAcentral lists this non-coding RNA (89 nucleotides) under Bacillus sp. (in: firmicutes). RNAcentral describes it as "Bacillus sp. c-di-GMP sequence". It matches the Rfam family "c-di-GMP-I riboswitch aptamer". Rfam says of the family: GEMM was predicted in a large-scale screen for bacterial structured RNA regulatory elements. Lineage: Bacteria; Bacillati; Bacillota; Bacilli; Caryophanales; Bacillaceae. The record is from RNAcentral.
CGCAGAAAAAGGCAAACUCAUUGAAAGAUGAGGACGCAAAGUCACGGGUCUAAGGUAUUGGAUGAUACUACGAUGGCUGGGUUGCCUGG